GACAUACAAGUAGUAGGGAGAGGAAACUGGACCGACCCUUCGGGGAGCUUGUACAGGUGCUGCAUGGCUGUCGUCAGCUCGUGUCGUGAGAUGUCGGUUAAGUCCGCUAACGAGCGCAACCCUCGCUGUGUGUUACAAGUGUCACACGGGAACUGCCGGUCAUAAACCGGAGGAAGGUGGGGAUGACGUCAAGUCAGCAUGGCCUUUAUAUCCUGGGCUACACACACGCUACAAUGGGAAGGGACAAUAGGUUGCGAAGCCGCGAGGCGGAGCCAAUCCAGCAAACUUCCCUCAGUUCAGAUUGCAGGCUGCAACUCGCCUGCAUGAAGUUGGAGUUGCUAGUAAACGCAGGUCAGCCAUACUGCGUUGAAUACGUUCCCGGGGCUU
This 387-nucleotide ribosomal RNA is filed under the name uncultured Anaerolineaceae bacterium. RNAcentral describes it as "bacterial SSU rRNA". It matches the Rfam family "Bacterial small subunit ribosomal RNA", at positions 983 to 1382 of the family's 1533-position model. The record is from RNAcentral. Lineage: Bacteria; Bacillati; Chloroflexota; Anaerolineae; Anaerolineales; Anaerolineaceae.